Molecule: ribosomal RNA, 207 nt
Filed under: uncultured bacterium
Lineage: Bacteria
Description: partial 16S ribosomal RNA
Rfam family: Bacterial small subunit ribosomal RNA
Source: RNAcentral
CGUGUAGGCGGAUCGGUAAGUACCGUGUGAAAGCCCCCGGCUCAACCGGGGAACGGCUCGGUAUACUGUCGGUCUUGAGGCAGGUAGGGGCGAGUGGAACCCUAGGUGGAGCGGUGAAAUGCGUAGAGAUCUAGGGGAACGCCGGUGGCGAAAGCGACUCGCUGGACCUGUCCUGACGCUGAGACGCGAAAGCGUAGGGAGCGAACG